CACACUUUUUAAAGGUGUGGUAAUUUACCUGAGAAUCAGACACACUUUCAUCUUUCAACAGGCAGACAGCAGAGUUCUUCUUCUGUCCAGGACAGAGAGCAAGUUGCAAUGGGGGACACAGAGAAAGGGAAGAAGGCUUUUGUCCAGAAGUGUUCCCAGUGCCACACGGUGGAUGAGGGGGGACGACACAAGGUGGGACCUAACCUCUGGGGCCUGUUUGGCCGGAAGACAGGACAGUCACCUGGAUACUCCUACACACAGGCCAACACCAACAAGGGUGUAGUCUGGGAGGAGAAGACACUAAUGGUCUAUCUAGAGGACCCUAAGAAGUACAUCCCAGGUACCAAGAUGAUCUUUGCUGGUAUCAAGAAGAAGAAAGAGAGAGAGGACCUGAUAGCCUACUUAAAGGAUGCCACUUCGUAGACAGACACACGGCAUGCACACACACCGUAUGAUACUGUACACGCACACACACACACACACACACACACACACACACACACACACACACACACACACACACACACACACACACACACACACACACACACACACACACACACACACACACACAUUUCCUUCCUAUACAUGCACACCUCUCUAACACACACCUGUCAUUCUCUACUACCUUACUCCCACUCCUGGUACACAUGUUCUUCUGACACACAUAAGGACACACCUUAACACACAAACAAACAUACAGCACACUCUACUGUACACUACCACACACACUACAACCCACACUACCAUACACUACCAUACACUACCAUACACACUACCACACACACUACAACACACACUACUGUACGCUACCACACACACUACAACCCACACUACCAUACUCUACCAUACACACUACCACACACACUACAACACACACUACCAUACACUACCAUACACACUACCACACACACUACAACAUACUCUACUGUACACCACCACACACACUACCACACACACACACACACUACUAUUCACACUACCACACACACUACCAUACACUACCAUACACACUACCACACACACACUACCAUACACACUACCACACACACACACACUACUAUACACACUACCACACACACUACCACACACACUACCACACAUUACCACACACACACACACACUACCAUGCACAUGACAAUACACACUACCACACACACAUUACCAUACACACUACCAUACACACUACCACACACACUAACACACACUACCAUACACACUGCCACACACACUACCAUACACACUACCACAAACUACCACACACACUACCACACACACUACCAUACACACUGCCACACACUACCAUACACACUACCACACACACACACUACCACACACACUACCAUACACACUGCCACACACUACCAUACACACUACCAUACACACUACCACACACACUACCAUACACACUACCACACAUUACCACACACACACACACACACUACCAUGCACAUGACAAUACACACUACCACACACACAUUACCAUACACACUACCAUACACACUACCACACACACUACCACACACACUACCACACACACUACCAUACACACUACCACACACACUACAACACACACUACUGUACACUACCACACACACUACAACCCACACUACCAUACUCUACCAUACACACUACCACACACACUACAACACACACUACCAUACACUACCAUAUACACUACCACACACACUACAACACACUCUACUGUACACCACCACACACACUACCACACACACACACACACUACUAUUCACACUACCACACACACUACCAUACACUACCAUACACACUACCACACACACACUACCAUACACACUACCACACACACACACACUACUAUACACACUACCACACACACUACCAUACACUACCAUACACACUACCACACACACUACCACACACACUACCACACAUUACCACACACACACACACACUACCAUGCACAUGACAAUACACACUACCACACACACAUUACCAUACACACUACCAUACACACUACCACACACUACCACACAGAUUACCAUACACACUGCCACACACACUACCAUACACACUACCACACACUACCACACACACUACCACACACACUACCACACACACUACCAUACACACUGCCACACAUUACCAUACACACUACCACACACACACUACCACACACACUACCAUACACACUGCCACACAUUACCACACACACACACACACACACUACCAUGCACAUGACAAUACACACUACCACACACACAUUACCAUACACACUACCAUACACACUACCACACACACUACCACACACACUACCACACACUACCAUACACACUGCCACACACACUACCAUACACACUACCACACACUACCACACACACUACCACACACACUACCACACACACUACCAUACACACUGCCACACACUACCAUACACACUACCACACACACACACUACCACACACACUACCAUACACACUGCCACACACUACCAUACACACUACCAUACACACUACCACACACACUACCAUACACACUACCACACAUUACCACACACACACACACACACACUACCAUGCACAUGACAAUACACACUACCACACACACAUUACCAUACACACUACCACACACACUACCACACACACUACCACACACUACCAUAUACACUGCCACACACACUACCAUACACACUACCACACACUACCACACACACUACCACACACACUACCACACACACUACCAUACACACUGCCACACACUACCAUGCACACUACCACACACACACACUACCACACACACUACCAUACACAAUGCCACACACUACCAUACACACUACCAUACACACUACCACACACACUACCAUACACACUACCACACAUUACCACACACACACACACACUACCAUGCACAUGACAAUACACACUACCACACACACAUUACCAUACACACUACCAUACACACUACCACACACACUACCACACACACUACCAUACACACUACCAUACACACUACCACACACACUACAACACACACUACUGUACACUACCACACACACUACAACCCACACUACCAUACUCUACCAUACACACUACCACACACACUACAACACACAUUACCAUACACUACCAUACACACUACCACACACACUACAACACACUCUACUGUACACCACCACACACACUACCACACACACACACACACUACUAUUCACACUACCACACACACUACCAUACACUACCAUACACACUACCACACACACACUACCAUACACACUACCACACACACACACUACUAUACACACUACCACACACACUACCAUACACUACCAUACACACUACCACACACACUACCACACACACUACCACACAUUACCACACACACACACACACACACACACACACACACACACACACACACACACACACACACAC
This 3410-nucleotide long non-coding RNA is filed under the name Salmo salar (Atlantic salmon). RNAcentral describes it as "lncRNA (ENSSSAG00000082505.1)". The record is from RNAcentral. Lineage: Eukaryota; Metazoa; Chordata; Actinopteri; Salmoniformes; Salmonidae.